GGGUCGGGCUUUUAAUUUUGGAUCCUUUAUAUCUGCUUCUGACUCCCAUCUUCUUUCUCACACUUCAUUCCAAACCCUAAAUCCUUCUUUUAGCCGUUUCUCUUUGGCUUCACUACAUCCUCUUCAAAUCAAACUUGGAUCCAUGGAUUAUUUUCAAUGAAGAAUCUACAGAUGCUGAAAGAGAUAUGGGAUCAUCAUCAUCGUCGCCGCUCGCUAGAGGACGCCGACGACCACCGAUUUUGGCAGAGAGAUGAUGGAUUUAUGCUUCAUAUGACAGUGACACCUAUUGCUUCGCCGACGAACACUAUGGAGCUGGUGAUUUUAGGGUUUUGCCUUAAAGUUGGAGGGUUAUAUCUAAGCUUCGAGAUGUUAUGGUCUUUUGGAUAUCUGAAAUACUUGAAGUGAUCAAACAAGUUAAAUAAUUUGCUGUUCACUGAGGAAAAUUAUAAAGAAAAGAUGUCUAAAUUUCAGAGUCAAAGAGAAAGCAUCCAUCCAUCAAUAGCAUCGUGAAGUGGUCGAGAGACGUAUUUAUACAGUAGCCACUGGUAUUUCUACUCACGGACCUGAUGUUCCUGGUUUGUCUUCUUCUAUUAGAAGUUUUUGUUCAUCGGCGUGGUCGUACAAGCUAGGCUAGGCUGGAUCUCAUACAGAGAGUAUACUGGUGCAAGCACUGAGGAAUAGAGGACAUGUUGUUGCUGUUACUGGCGAUGGAACAAAUGACGCCCCUGCUUUACAUGAGGCUGAUAUUGGUCUUGCGAUGGGGAUUCAAGCCACUAAAUUAGCAAAAGAGAGUAGUUCUGGUUGGGUUUGUUAUUAACUUUCGGUUUAUGUAUUAAGUUUAGUCAUAUAUUACUUUCAUGUUCAAAUUUAAAAUUUUAACUAAAAAAUCAACAAUAUCUUAUCCACAAAAACGUUUUAUAAUUAUUAAGUAUAUUUAUUUUAUUAAGCCCGUGUAAUAUUCGAGGUUUUACAUGCUGGUAUAAAAAAAUAAAUUUAAAAGGAAAUGGUCAAACCUUGCCAGAAUGGGUUCAGGUUCGUAUCUAGAUAUACAUAGUUGCUUUAGUCUAACAACAUGUUUAUGUAUGUUUUAUUUUAUCGUGAGACACGCCACCGGAGAGAUCAUGUGAGAAUCCAUUUAGCUUAUGCCAGAAGAUCCUUCGGCUGGAAUCCCAAAUAAAGUGCCACUGGCGUAUAGAGCUGUUUCUUUUUGGCAGUUGAGUUUGCUCCAUCUGUGGUGUUGGGAACAAAUAGGACGCUUGCCAGUUUGCCAAUUCUGUUUGGAGUCAAAUUUGCCUUUGGAUUUAAAUCCCUCCCUUCAAGCUGAACAUAUAGGUGAGGUUGAUUUAACGAAGAUGCAGUUUUCUGAUAUUAGCUUUGAUGCAGCAUACGCAGUUGAUGCUACUUGCUAUGCUCCAGGGUACGACUCAAAACGGACCGUGGAUCGAAUGGCGGUCGUGGAGACAGACCAUGGAUCUAACAGCGUAGGAAUAAUCGACGAGGGAAGGGAAGUUUUAAUUGGAACUCUAACGGCGCUUGCAAGGCAUUCAGUGGCAGCAAAUGUGAUUUCGCUGGUUUUAAUUCAUGGCAACGACGACGGCUUCACGCAUAUUAGUGUUAUGUUUCGUUUCUCUGACAGAUAUAAAGGACCCAAUGACUCGAUCCGGUGAACAGCUGAAGGUGGCGCCAACUAAACUCAGGGUUACUACUGUCGUUGAUACCAAAGCAAUCUAAAGAUGAAGCUUCUAUUGUUGUUAACGAUGGUGUGCGGUACUUUGUCAUUUUCCAGUCAGUUAACCACCCCGAAAACCGAAAGCCUGAGACCAGGACGCAACCAAACAUCCUUAACCGAUCAAUCUCAGGGCAAAAUUUAAGACAGCAUGCAAGACUUCAAAGAGCAUACUCGGACCACAAUCUGUGUUAUUCUGCUAAUAAUGUUCAGGCGUCGAUGAAUCAACCAAAGUUGAAAAACAGCUGUUCAAUGGGAGUUUUCAACUUGAAACCGUCAAGCUCGAUUGUUCCAAAGGCACUCAAGACAGAUGUUGGUGAAAUAAUAGUGAAGGAAGGGAAGAAACGGGGUAACUGGAUCAAGAUGCUAAUGGAAAUUAGAAGCCGAUGGGUUCAAAAACAAAACAAUGAACUCGACGGUGAUAACGAAGAAGAAAAGGGAUGUGACGACGGUUGUGAGGUGGAUUACAACGAUGAUGAAGACAGUGUUAUCGUUAAUCUGGAGACGUUCUCUGGAAUGUUGAAGCACUAUCUUGGUCUGAUACGAAGCUUUUAUCACAACUAGCUUUUCUCUGUAAUAUGGCUUAUGUUAUCCCAGAGAUCGAGGAGGACGACUUGAGACGAUGCUAUGUAUUACCAUUUGUAACAUCUUCAUGGGAGAGGAAAGCACUAGCCGACGCUAUUUGCGAACCGGUGACUACCUCAGCAGCCAACCAGAGGACCGAAAAGCAUAUAACCCGUACGCAACUGCGUACGAGAUAGCAGCCUUGGCGGCAACAUACGUGCAAUCCCAAGCAAGCCGUCUUAUAAACCUUGAUUCUAAACUGCGCCCGGAGGAAGAUGAUGAUGUCAUCUUAGACAAGACAUAUUCGUCUCAAAGAGUGUAUAAUUCAGAGAUGGUGGUGUAUAUGGCGGCUACUACUAUAACGGCGGUUGUUGCGGCACCUGAGAAGGAAAAACAAGAGGCUGCAAAGGAUCUACAGUCAUAUUGCAUUCAUCCCCUUGUGAAUGGUUUAUUUGCGAUGAUUCGAGUAUAUACACUCGGUGUUUUGUCAUCCAGGGUUCCGCUUCGGUGGCAUCAUGGCAGGAAAAUCUCUUUUUUGAACCAACUAAGUUCGAGGUAGGAAUUUGGAUGGUUCUCUAAUAACUAAGGGUGGUAAAACGGGGCAGUCCGGUUUGGCAAAAGACCAACUAAGUUCGAGCAUAAUGAAGCUGGACAUGAUAUGCAUUGGGGUGGCUCGAACCAUAUGACACCUUUGGUACUGGUACAAAUUCUGUAGCAUAGGGUGCUACUUCAGUAGCAGCAGAUAGGAUACAUGAGCAAAUAAGUUUCAGUUUCGAUUACUCAAUGUUCAUGUAUUGUUUUCAUGUAAUUAUACCAGCUGUUUCAAUAGCGACAUGUUCUUUAUUUUAAAAUCAAAGAUUAUAUCCUCAAACACUAAA
This is a long non-coding RNA of Helianthus annuus (common sunflower), 3168 nucleotides long. RefSeq lists it as uncharacterized. The record is from RefSeq and is a predicted model, not a curated record. The transcript has 13 exons. NCBI's taxonomy places the organism in Eukaryota, Viridiplantae, Streptophyta, Magnoliopsida, Asterales, Asteraceae.